Molecule: ribosomal RNA, 727 nt
Filed under: uncultured bacterium
Lineage: Bacteria
Description: bacterial SSU rRNA
Rfam family: Bacterial small subunit ribosomal RNA
Source: RNAcentral
UUUAGUGUGGAAUAACCCUGGGAAACCGGGGCUAAUACCGCAUAAUCCCGAGAGGGGAAAGUCGCAAGACGCUGAAAGAGGAGCCCGCGGCCGAUUAGCCAGUUGGCGGGGUAAAGGCCCACCAAAGCAUAGAUCGGUAGCCGGCCUGAGAGGGCACACGGCCACACCGGCACUGAAACACGGGCCAGACUCCUACGGGAGGCAGCAGUGGGGAAUCUUGCACAAUGGGGGAAACCCUGAUGCAGCGACGCCGCGUGAGCGAUGAAGCCCUUCGGGGCGUAAAGCUCUUUCGGCAGGGAAGAUUAUGACGGUACCUGCAGAAGCAGCUGCGGCUAACUACGUGCCAGCAGCCGCGGUAAUACGUAGGCAGCGAGCGUUGUUCGGAGUUACUGGGCGUAAAGGGUGUGUAGGCGGUUAUUUAAGUUUGGUGUGAAAUCUCCCGGCUUAACCGGGAGGGUGCGCCGAAUACUGAGUGACUAGAGUGCGGGAGAGGAGAGUGGAAUUCCUGGUGUAGCGGUGAAAUGCGUAGAUAUCAGGAGGAACACCGGCGGUGUAGACGGCUCUCUGGACCGCGACUGACGCUGAGACACGAAAGCGUGGGUAGCGAACGGGAUUAGAUACCCUGGUAGUCCACGCCCUAGACGAUGCAUAUUUGGUGUGGGCAGUUCAUUCUGUCCGUGCCGGAGCUAACGCGUUAAAUAUGCCGCCUGGGGAGUACAGUCGCAAG